GACGAACGCUGGCGGCGUGCUUAACACAUGCAAGUCGAACGUGAUUUUUGUGGAAAUUCUUUCGGGAAUGGAAAUGAAAUGAAAGUGGCGAACGGGUGAGUAACACGUGAGCAGCCUACCUUACACAGGGGGAUAGCCGUUGGAAACGACGAUUAAUACCGCAUGAGACCACAGAAUCGCAUGAUAUAGGGGUCAAAGAUUUAUCGGUGUAAGAAGGGCUCGCGUCUGAUUAGCUAGUUGGAAGGGUAAAGGCCUACCAAGGCGACGAUCAGUAGCCGGUCUGAGAGGAUGAACGGCCACAUUGGAACUGAGACACGGUCCAAACUCCUACGGGAGGCAGCAGUGGGGAAUAUUGCACAAUGGGGGGAACCCUGAUGCAGCGACGCCGCGUGAGCGAAGAAGGUUUUCGAAUCGUAAAGCUCUGUCCUAUGAGAAGAUAAUGACGGUAUCAUAGGAGGAAGCCCCGGCUAAAUACGUG
This 478-nucleotide ribosomal RNA is filed under the name uncultured bacterium. RNAcentral's name for it is "partial 16S ribosomal RNA". It matches the Rfam family "Bacterial small subunit ribosomal RNA", at positions 28 to 507 of the family's 1533-position model. The record is from RNAcentral.